GCGGGGCGGGCCUCCGGCGAGCCGCGCGCCCAGGCGGCCAGGCCUGAGGCUUGCCCCUUGGGGAGGGCCGAGGCCGCUGGACCCGUGGGGCACCGGCGGGAGAAGCAGGGCGGCACACGUUGCGCACCCCCGCCUGCCACACACCACCGCCCGGCCGGCGGCAGAGGCGCGAGCCCCGGGGCGGAACCCGAAGGGCCGACCCUCUCGCCAGCCAGCCGUGUCCAUGCCUCUUCUGGCGCGUUUUAGGCCCGGCCCGGGAGAGCCGGGCCUCCCCACGUCCUACUACAACCGGCAAGUGUUUCUGCGUUUUGUUCUUCCUCAAGACGUAUUACUUUUUGAAACUGCUUUAUUGGGGAAGAGUGAUUUACAGUGUCGCCCUAGCUUCGCGGGUUUACAGCAAAGUGAAUCAUACACCUACGUGGUCUUAGGACCUGUUGUCAGUGGUGCUCCCAAGCUCUGACCAGGAGACCCUCGUGCGUUCUGCUCGCUGAAAGUGGCAGAAAGCACCAAGUGCCCCCUAAGCCGGCUUGCAAGAAAAUGGCCUGAGAUAUCUACCCUCCUUUGCAGCCCUCCUACCCCCAACCGCACCCACUCAGAGCAGCUCCAGUCCAAUUGGUCUGUGACAGAAAAAGAGGCUCCCAAAGGGGCAGAAGGGGACUCCUGUUGCAGCCCCUCCUCCAGCUUCAGAAAGUCAAGAACAUUUUGGUUCCAGAGGCAAGAACCCCAACGAAAAUUCGCUGAUGCGGAAAAGGGGAAAGGGAACAUGCACAUAACAGAGAGGUCCAAUAUGUGUGGAUUUAAUGGCUCCGUGUUAUGAGAAGGCUUUAACGCCUCCGUCUUCCCGUGCGGCUACCAGGAUGACUGCGUAUGAGCUCCGUAUGCCGUCCCCGCAUCUUCACGGCUCACUCAGAUAUGAAAUCUCUGGAAGACACUGACCAGGGAGGCUCCAGUCAAUGCCAGCUGCUCAGCCGAUGCCUGGGAGUAAAGCUAAGUAUUAUGGUGGGCCCAGACCUAUACCAAGCUCGGUGGCCUGGGGUUUGGGCAUCUAUGAUGGGGAGCUUUAAUGGGAUGCCACAUCUUGAAGUACUUUCCCCGGAGACAAGGAUGUGGGCAGGCUGCCCCCCAAAUCAACAUGUCCUAUGGUUUCAGCACUGACAGUCCCCCACGCUUUCACUUGUUGUUGUUGUUGCCGUUCUCUCUUGUAUUAUUUUGUUCCACUUUGGAUGGAGCCAGGAUUCUAAACCCUUCUCCUCAUGCGCCCUUCUUUCCUGGAACUCGUUUAACUCAAAAUGUUCUGUCUUUCAGAUCCUAUCUACAAGUUCCCUAUGAGCAAGGAUGCAAUUCAUCUGCUUCUGGGAACUUGAGCGUGCUUGAAAUUACAGGAGGUCUCCUACUUCCCGAUUGGGAGCUUUGGAUUUUAAGUUCUUCGUUCGGUAAAGUAUAUUUCUGCAGACCAUGGACUCCUCUUGACGGAUAGCAUUGGUGGUAGGGUGAACUGGGAAGCCAAAUAACCCUUCAUUUGUCAGAAGAGGGUAAAAAAAAUAAUCCAUUCCUGAGUUGGCAACAACUAUCAUAGAUAACAACAACGCUAGCACCUGACAUCCUAUGUGGUGACUCUAAGAGUAGAGGCCAACCUCCGGAAAUAGAUGCGUUGUCCUUAGGGAGUUCUCCCCUUUGAGUUUCUCCCAAGUGGUGUUGCCUUGAAAAGGACAAGAGAGUAACGAGGGGAGAUUUGCUUGUCUGUUGCGGUACAGCAACUACCCCCACAUUUAGCAGCUUGAGCCAUCAGCAUCCAUUGGUUCAUGAUUUCGGUGGGUUCCCUGUCCAGGAAUGGAUUGGAUGGGUGACUGUGGCUCAGGGUUUGCAGGAGGUGGCAGUCAGGCCGUCCUCUAGGGCUGUCCUCUCAGGUUCCGCCAGAGGAAGACCUGCUUCCACACUCCCUCACGGUGGCGCGUGGUCCUCAGUUCCUCACCACGUGGACCUCUUCAUAGGCCCGAUGCCCUCACAGCACACCAGCGAGCUUCCGGCUCACAGGGCCGGCUGCCCCCCGGAGCAAGCCAUGCUGGGACAGAGUGAGAGAGCAAAGCAGAAAUGGAAGUCACCAUCUUUCCGUAACCGUGUGUCACAAAGCACAUCCCAGUACUUUUGGGCCUGGGGUAACCAUAGAAGCCAGUCCAGUCCGCAUUAAUGGAAAGGGAAAUCAGGUUCCCUCACUUGACAGGAGGAGUGUGCAGUAGUUUGGGGGCAUAUCUGUAAAACCAGGGCAGGAGGCUUUUGAGUUCCUUCAUGUGGAAUCACCCUAUGGGUCUGUGAUAAAAGUCGUUAGUCACAUUAUCGGCAUCCAAGAUUAUUUUUCCAAAAGUGAAGCUGUAGCCACAGUGAACCUUAGGAAAGAUUCAGAAAAGUCCCUUGAGCACCCACAUUCCUGGACGUGGACCUUGUCCCUCCGCUUGGUAUGGCCCUCACGACCCAGACAGCCCGCCUUAGCAGCCCGCGAAAGCUUAAGGUUUCCCCUUUAAGAGUCAUAACAAGACUCGGAGCAGCACAGCUCACUUCUGUCGGGGAAAGAUGGACUCUCCUAAAAGGAAAAGUGAAGAACAUGGGAUCUUGGGGACCCUGUGGAGAGGAGAUGACAUGGAGGGGGAAGAUGGAAUGUAGUUCUUGUCGGGGAACAUACUGACAAAGCCCUAAGACUGCUAAUCAAAUUCCAGUUAAAAUCUCUGUACACGCCGGCGUUCCCGUCGUGGCUCUGCAGUUAACGAAUCUGACUAACGUUCAUGGGGGCGCGGGUUCGACCCCGGCCUGGCUCAGUGGGUUGAGAAUCCAGCGUUGCUGUGGCUGUGGUGUAGGCCGGCAG
This 2857-nucleotide long non-coding RNA is filed under the name Sus scrofa (pig). Its description in RNAcentral is "lncRNA (ENSSSCG00055019382.1)". Lineage: Eukaryota; Metazoa; Chordata; Mammalia; Artiodactyla; Suidae. The record is from RNAcentral.